UGAGGAAUUUUGCGCAAUGGGCGAAAGCCUGACGCAGCAACGCCGCGUGGGUGAUGAAGGCCUUUGGGUCGUAAAGCCCUGUCAAGUGGGAAGAACCCGCAUGGUGCGAAUAAUGCCAUGCGCUGACGGUACCACUGAAGGAAGCACCGGCUAACUCCGUGCCAGCAGCCGCGGUAAUACGGGGGGUGCGAGCGUUAUUCGGAAUCAUUGGGCGUAAAGGGCGCGUAGGCGGCUACCUAAGUCAGGCGUGAAAGCCCGGGGCUUAACCCCGGAAGUGCGUUUGAAACUGGGUGGCUUGAGUAUGGGAGAGGGAAGCGGAAUUCCUGGUGUAGAGGUGAAAUUCGUAGAUAUCAGGAGGAACAUCUGUGGCGAAGGCGGCUUCCUGGACCAAUACUGACGCUGAGGCGCGAAGGCGUGGGGAGCAAACA
This 428-nucleotide ribosomal RNA is filed under the name uncultured Desulfatitalea sp. RNAcentral describes it as "bacterial SSU rRNA". It matches the Rfam family "Bacterial small subunit ribosomal RNA", at positions 355 to 774 of the family's 1533-position model. Lineage: Bacteria; Pseudomonadati; Thermodesulfobacteriota; Desulfobacteria; Desulfobacterales; Desulfosarcinaceae. The record is from RNAcentral.